Molecule: ribosomal RNA, 762 nt
Filed under: uncultured bacterium
Lineage: Bacteria
Description: bacterial SSU rRNA
Rfam family: Bacterial small subunit ribosomal RNA
Source: RNAcentral
AAAGAUUUCUUCGGAAUGAAUUUGAUUUAGUUUAGUGGCGGACGGGUGAGUAACGCGUGAGUAACCUGCCUUCAAGAGGGGGAUAACAUUCUGAAAAGAAUGCUAAUACCGCAUGACAUAUCGGAAUCACAUGAUUUUGAUAUCAAAGAUUUUAUCGCUUGAAGAUGGACUCGCGUCCGAUUAGUUAGUUGGUGAGGUAACGGCUCACCAAGACCGCGAUCGGUAGCCGGACUGAGAGGUUGAACGGCCACAUUGGGACUGAGACACGGCCCAGACUCCUACGGGAGGCAGCAGUGGGGGAUAUUGCGCAAUGGGGGCAACCCUGACGCAGCAACGCCGCGUGAAGGAUGAAGGUUUUCGGAUUGUAAACUUCUUUUAUUAAGGACGAAAAAUGACGGUACUUAAUGAAUAAGCUCCGGCUAACUACGUGCCAGCAGCCGCGGUAAUACGUAGGGAGCAAGCGUUGUCCGGAUUUACUGGGUGUAAAGGGUGCGUAGGCGGCUUUGCAAGUCAGAUGUGAAAUCUAUGGGCUCAACCCAUAAACUGCAUUUGAAACUGUAGAGCUUGAGUGAAGUAGAGGCAGGCGGAAUUCCCCGUGUAGCGGUGAAAUGCGUAGAGAUGGGGAGGAACACCAGUGGCGAAGGCGGCCUGCUGGGCUUUAACUGACGCUGAGGCACGAAAGCGUGGGUAGCAAACAGGAUUAGAUACCCUGGUAGUCCACGCUGUAAACGAUGAUUACUAGGUGUGGGGGGUCUGACCCCU